This 1542-nucleotide long non-coding RNA is filed under the name Sinocyclocheilus anshuiensis. RNAcentral's name for it is "lncRNA (ENSSANG00000029502.1)". Lineage: Eukaryota; Metazoa; Chordata; Actinopteri; Cypriniformes; Cyprinidae. The record is from RNAcentral.
AUUCUGUCAAUAUCAGUCAUAUUUAAAGACCAAGUAGAGGGAGUGUUUAUGAUCAAACCUCCAAACAUUUCAUAUCUCUAAAAAGCCCUGAAUGUGCUCCGUACAGGACAUCCAGACUUAAAACUGUGGCAUUUAAGGUCUCAGAGAAAUUCACUAAAAUAUAAUGUCCUCUUCAGAGCACAAAAGUCUAUGCCUGGGUCCCAGGAGGAUAAUGUUACAGGCUACAGCUUCUUUUUAAGUCUCUAGAUAGAAACUAAAGAGAAGCCGGCACAAAAUGGACAGGAAACAUUCGUUGCUAUUUAUCAAAGACUUUAGAUUACUGGAAUCUGGCGUUCUCUAGUGGACAUUAAAAACAACUCUGACUGACAGGAUGCAAUAUUUGGGCACCUCGAGGGGGCGCUUGGCUGUCAAACAGAAUAUUAGACUCGCAUUCAAAUCUAAGGAUUUUUGGUGACUGAACUCUACAUUCUAUAAAAUGUAUUAAUAGCAAUUAUUGUUAAAUGACAUGCAAAUAAAUAUUUAUGAAAUGUUUAAAAAAAAAUCCACUCAUCUAAUCACAAACAGCUGCGACUGGUGACAGAUGCCAAGUGACCGUGCUUUUAUUUACUACUUAAUCAUAGGCCUGAACAAUAUUUUUUCUGAAUAAUUGAAUAAUUUUUAGUGGUAUUUGAAUUCAUUUGAAUUAAUAGAAUUUUAAUUAAUUAAAUAAAAAAUGUCAGCAAGAGGAAGUAUUUAAUCCCGCCCAUAUUAAGUCGCUCGUUCUGAUUGGUCAUGGUCACUUUUCUAUCAAGGAAGUGACAACACGAGCAACAUAGAUCCUGUAAAAUGGAACCGGAAUGCGUCACUGGCCUAUGCUGUUGGUAUUUGGACCCUGCGUGGCUACGCAUAUUACAAAUACACGCUGGGAAGCGACAAAGUUGAAAAGGUCGACUAAAGGAUAUAUGAAACAAAACACACUCGAACCACAAUUAUCUAUAAGGAGGAUUCUGUGCCAUACACCACAAUGCUUUUAAACUUCUUCAAAGCUACAUCUGGGAGUUCCCAAGAGAGUGAAAAACAAGAAGAAGAGAAAUGAGUUGACUGCUUGUUUGUUUGUUUGUUUGUUUUUCUGACAAAAAGAUUAACUGUCAUAUUUUAAAGGGGUCAUAUGAUGCGAUUUCAAUUUUUCCUUUCUCUUUGGAGUGUUACAAGCUCUUGGUGCAUAAAGAAGAUCUGUAAAGUUGCAAAGACUAAAGUCUCAAAUCCAAAGAGAUAUUCUUUAUAAAAGUUAAGAGUCAACCACGCCUACCUAAAACGCCUCGUUCUAACACGCCCUCACAUGUCUACAUCACUAUGUGGGAAGAUUUGCAUAACGCCGCCCAAAUGUUCACGCAAAGAAAGAAGGUGUAACUUUUAUUCUCGCUGUUGUAUUGUUGCUGCUGCCGCCAUGUCGUGGAGACGCUGUGCUUCGUUGUGAAAGCGAAACUACUUUGUUUGGUCUUCCAAAAGAGGACACGACUAGAAGUCAGUGGUUAAGUUGUAUUUACAACACUGUUCCAGAAC